This 59-nucleotide microRNA precursor is filed under the name Cavia porcellus (domestic guinea pig). RNAcentral describes it as "Cpo-Mir-139_pre stem-loop". It matches the Rfam family "mir-139 microRNA precursor family", at positions 7 to 65 of the family's 68-position model. Lineage: Eukaryota; Metazoa; Chordata; Mammalia; Rodentia; Caviidae. The record is from RNAcentral.
UCUACAGUGCACGUGUCUCCAGCGUGGCUCGGAGGCUGGAGACGCGGCCCUGUUGGAGU